RNAcentral lists this ribosomal RNA (515 nucleotides) under uncultured bacterium. RNAcentral describes it as "partial 16S ribosomal RNA". It matches the Rfam family "Bacterial small subunit ribosomal RNA", at positions 28 to 523 of the family's 1533-position model. The record is from RNAcentral.
GAUGAACGCUGGCGGCGUGCCUAAUACAUGCAAGUCGAGCGAAUGGAUUAAGAGCUUGCUCUUAUGAAGUUAGCGGCGGACGGGUGAGUAACACGUGGGUAACCUGCCCAUAAGACUGGGAUAACUCCGGGAAACCGGGGCUAAUACCGGAUAACAUUUUGAACCGCAUGGUUCGAAAUUGAAAGGCGGCUUCGGCUGUCACUUAUGGAUGGACCCGCGUCGCAUUAGCUAGUUGGUAAGGUAACGGCUCACCAAGGCAACGAUGCGUAGCCGACCUGAGAGGGUGAUCGGCCACACUGGGACUGAGACACGGCCCAGACUCCUACGGGAGGCAGCAGUAGGGAAUCUUCCGCAAUGGACGAAAGUCUGACGGAGCAACGCCGCGUGAGUGAUGAAGGCUUUCGGGUCGUAAAACUCUGUUGUUAGGGAAGAACAAGUGCUAGUUGAAUAAGCUGGCACCUUGACGGUACCUAACCAGAAAGCCACGGCUAACUACGUGCCAGCCGCUGCGGUAA